Molecule: long non-coding RNA, 1625 nt
Filed under: Homo sapiens (human)
Lineage: Eukaryota; Metazoa; Chordata; Mammalia; Primates; Hominidae
Description: HSALNT0330670
Source: RNAcentral
GAAGAAGAAAGGGAAAUGGUGGCAGGGUGGGGGGGUCGCGGAGGCUGUGGAGGAUUGAAUAUGUUGAAUGCUAAACAGAAGAAAGUCAGAUUUUAAGUGGCCAAAGUUUCCAUGUGAACCACCAGAAGAGCCUCUUCUUAUGAUCCAAUUGUGGAUUCAGUUUUUCCUACGGUGGUGAGCAAGCUGAUGAGUGGGCCUUCCUGAGGACGGACAGAGGCCCAGCCACAUGCUACGGGGAGCAUCCCUAUGCCUGGCUCAUAAUUUCACUGCGCAUCUACAGACAAACGCCCAACUUGCCUGGAACAUCAAGAAGAGUGAAAGCGAACCCAUCAUGGUGAACAGAGAUCAGGAGGAAAAGCCUGGGAUCAUCAAUCAAUCUCCAGUUCAUCCCAAACCUACUCAAGACGCAGCAAUCAUGUGAAGGAAAGGAUUCCUGACUCUAACAAUGUGCCUUCAGAAGCCUGAUCACACAAUCAAGUGGCUCUAAUUCCCCAGGGCAAACAUACCUGUUCUGUUUAUCUAAAUGAGCAGAAGUGUUGAAAAAGAUACAAACAAGAGAAAAAACACUGUGCUCAGAAUAUUUUGUAUUUGUCAAUGUGCAGUUGGCAUUGGAGUGACCUGCUGUAUUGAAAUGGGACUGGCUUGAGGGAGGGGGUUGCUGAAAAGAGAGGAGAAUGUGGAGGAUGAAAGUGAGACAGACAACUCAGAAUUUUUCCCUUUUGAAUUUCAACCUGUUGGAUAAAAACAAUAGCAAAUGAGGCACUGAAUAUGCAUGAGGCAGGGAAGGUAUUUUAAGUUUUUCAGGAGACAGCUCGCUGAACAGAAUUGCUAAUUAUGUCUCACAUUGCUCUGUCCAAUUCAGUUAGCUUGAUUAUGGCUGAGUUGUCAACUCCCCUGCACUUGAGGUUCCACAGUUGCAGCCCAUUCUAAGGCUUAAUACUAAAUUAGAAUUAUAUUUUUCCCCCAAAAAAAAAUGUUUUCCCUUGCUGAAGUGCUAGCUUUAUCCAUUGUGACAACAUAACCUUUCUCAACAAAAAUAAAAUUAAAACCGCCAAGGGUUCAGAUUCAAGGGUUUUUGGAGUUGGUGGAACGUCAGAAAUGUAAUCGCAGCUGUGACAAUUGCAAAUUAAGAUUGAACAAUGAGCCAAAUUAAAAAGGGUGAGAAAGAGCAGAACACCAUAUGGAGUCUCUCGUUGCUACCCCCACAGGAUAUCUUUGAUUCCCUAGGAUAAGGAGGAUUAGCCAACAGAGGGAUGGACUAAAUAAGAGCCCUGGCAUCUCACUAACCUGCAGCCACUGCAUAAAUCAAGAAGUUCAAUUUCCCAUUUCCUUAACUUAGUUUCUUCACCUUCAAAACAAAAGAAACUUUGCUUGAUAACAGUGCUGGUUCAAGAGAGGGAUGAUGAGGGAAGGAGGGGUCCUGGCUGAAGAGCUAAAUGAGGAUCAGUUAUAUCUAGGCCUGUCUAGCAAAUCAGGAUUCUUGGGAGAAUUCACCCUAAAAAUAGAGAGAAUGUGGCAUGAUGGGCUCAACUGAAUAAAAUGUCAUUGGAUUAAGUUCAGUAUGGCGCCUUCUGUCAAAUCCAUUCAAUUCCAGCCAAGUCUCUGCAGGACUCAUGUCUGAAAUG